AAAAUUUUGCCUGCCACCUGAUGCAAAUGUUAAAUUCAAGGAUGCAACAGGGACAGAAAUUGAUGCAGAAGUAUUCAGUGAACUUGUUGGACAAGGGAAUUUGGUGGUGAAAGUCUUCUCAGAUGAUGGUAGGUUUCGAAGGUAUUAAAGCACACUCUCCAUGGUACAGAAUAAAAAUUUUAAAAAUUUUUCAUUCCUUUAGAAUUCUCUGCAAGUUCGUUGUGUUCUGGUUCUGAGAUAUCUGAUUCAAGCUUCAACUCAAAUUCGUCAACCGUAAUACUAGAUGAAGUCCCUAAUAAGAGACAGAGAUCUGAGGAUGGUGCAUUGUCCUCUAAACAGUUGAUUAAAAAUGUGCUUCAAAGCAAGUCUGGUGGUGAAAAGGUACUACAGGAGUACCAAACUACAGAAACCCUAACAAAUGCAACAAGAAGACAACUGGUUAACAUACUGGCGAAUCACAUGAUUGAUUCAUGGAAACACUUCUAUGAUGCUGCAAGUAGUACAGGUUACAUUUCUUGGCGUUCAAAGACAGUCCGAGGGAGGAUUUGUAAAGAAUCUGCACUGCAAACAAAAAGCUCCCCUGACACUUCUCCAGGAGGCCCAAAUUUUCGAAGAAUGUUUACUGUUGAAAGGCAGCUUGAUGGUGAUGCUUGCAAAGAGGCCAUGUCUUUG
Molecule: long non-coding RNA, 672 nt
Organism: Clarias gariepinus (North African catfish)
Lineage: Eukaryota; Metazoa; Chordata; Actinopteri; Siluriformes; Clariidae
Exons: 3
Source: RefSeq, a predicted model, not a curated record